UACGAAGGACCCGAGCGUUAUCCGGAUUUAUUGGGUUUAAAGGGUGCGUAGGCGGACUAGUAAGUCAGUGGUGAAAGCCUGUUGCUUAACAACAGAACUGCCAUCGAUACUGCUAAUCUUGAGUACAUAUGAUGUGGGCGGAAUGUGCCAUGUAGCGGUGAAAUGCUUAGAUAUGGCACAGAACACCGAUUGCGAAGGCAGCUCACAAAACUGUUACUGACGCUGAGGCACGAAAGCGUGGGGAUCAAACAGG
RNAcentral lists this ribosomal RNA (253 nucleotides) under uncultured bacterium. RNAcentral's name for it is "partial 16S ribosomal RNA". It matches the Rfam family "Bacterial small subunit ribosomal RNA", at positions 524 to 776 of the family's 1533-position model. The record is from RNAcentral.